Molecule: ribosomal RNA, 1889 nt
Filed under: human gut metagenome
Description: bacterial LSU rRNA
Rfam family: Bacterial large subunit ribosomal RNA
Source: RNAcentral
UCAAGCUGUAAAGGGCGCAAGGGGAAUGCCUUGGCACUGAGAGCCGACGAAGGACGCGACAAGCUGCGAUAAGCUACGGGGAGCCGCAAAUGGGCUUUGAUCCGUGGAUUUCCGAAUGGGGAAACCCGAUGGAGCAAUACUCCAUCAACCAUGACUGAAUACAUAGGUCAUGGUGGGGAACCGCCUGAACUGAAACAUCUAAGUAGGGCGAGGAAGAGAAAUCAACCGAGAUUCCGCUAGUAGUGGCGAGCGAACGCGGAAGAGGCCAAACCGAUAGUAGUAAUACUUUCGGGGUUUUGGACAGCAUACGGUAUUUACCAAGGUUAGUAGAAUGAAAUGGGAAGUUCAACCAUAGAGUGUGAGAGUCACGUAUACGAAAACUGAGGUAAGCUAGCUGUAUCCAGAGUACCGCCGGACACGUGAAACCCGGUGGGAAGACGGGGGGACCACCCUCCAAGCCUAAAUACUCUCCAAUGACCGAUAGCGUAUAGUACUGUGAAGGAAAGGUGAAAAGAACCCCUGGCGGGGAGUGAAAUAGAACCUGAAACCUUGUGCCUACAAGCACAUAGAGCACGUCAAUGUGUGAUAUGGUACCUUUUGUAGAAUGGUCCGGCGAGUGAAUGUCACUAGCGAGGUUAAGUUCUUCAGGAACGCAGCCGAAGCGAAAGCGAGUCUUAAUAGGGCGAAUUAGUUAGUGGUAUUCGACCCGAAACCGGGUGACCUAGCCAUGAGCAGGCUGAAGUGGAGGUAAAACUCUAUGGAGGGCCGAACCCACUCCCGUUGAAAUGGUAGGGGAUGACUUGUGGCUAGCGGAGAAAUUCCAAUCGAACCCGGAGAUAGCUGGUUCUCUCCGAAAUAGCUUUAGGGCUAGCCUCAAUAAACAUUACUGCAGGUAAAGCACUGAAUGAGCUAGGGGGCGAAAGCUUACUGAACUCUAUCAAACUAAGAAUGGCAGAUAAUGAAUUAUUGGGAGUCACACUACGUGAGAUAAGUUUCGUGGUGGAAAGGGAAACAGCCCAGACCCACAGCUAAGGUCCCAAAGUACAGUUAAGUGGAAAAGGAUGUGAAAUUGCGCAGACAACCAGGAUGUUGGCUCAGAAGCAGCCACUCAUUCAAAGAGUGCGUAAUAGCUCACUGGUCGAGUGAUUUUGCGCCGAAAAUUUAACGGGGCUAAACUGUACACCGAAGCUUGGGAUGCGAUUUAUCGCAUGGUAGGAGAGCGUUGUGUAAGGGGUGAAGUCGUAGCGAAAGCGGCGGUGGACUUUACACAAGUGAGAAUGCCGGAAUGAGUAGCGAGAAUUAUGUGAGAAUCAUAAUGGCCGAAAGACUAAGGUUUUAGAAGGAAGGUUCGUCCGCUUCUAGUUAGCCGGGGGCUAAGGCGAGGCCGAGAGGCGUAGUCGAUGCACAUACGGUUGAGAUUCCGUAGCCACCUUGCAUUUAAGCGAAGGGACACAUUUGAAGGGCAUAUCCCGGGCGUUGGUUGACCCGGGCGUAAGGGACCGAAAAUAAGUAGGGAAGUAUGUUUGGAAAGUGGCGAGAAAAGCUUCGUGUAUAUAAGCAGGGUGCCCGUACUGCAAACCGACACAGGUAGUCAGGAAGAGGAUUCUAAGGCCAUCGGGAGAAGUGUUGUUAAGGAACUCGGCAAAUUGACCCCGUAACUUCGGAAUAAGGGGUGCUCACGCGAGUGAGCCGCAGUGAAUAGGUCCAGGCAACUGUUUAUCAAAAACACAGCUCUCUGCUAAAUCGUAAGAUGACGUAUAGGGGGUGACACCUGCCCGGUGCUGGAAGGUUAAGAGGAGGGGUGCAAGCUCCGAAUUGAAGCCCCAGUAAACGGCGGCCGUAACUAUAACGGUCCUAAGGUAGCGAAAUUCCUUGUCGGGUAAGUUCCG